This 406-nucleotide ribosomal RNA is filed under the name uncultured bacterium. RNAcentral describes it as "partial 16S ribosomal RNA". It matches the Rfam family "Bacterial small subunit ribosomal RNA", at positions 30 to 526 of the family's 1533-position model. The record is from RNAcentral.
AUUGAACGCUGGCGGCAGGCCUAACACAUGCAAGUCGAACGAGUGGCGGACGGGUGAGUAAUGUCUGGGAAACUGCCCGAUGGAGGGGGAUAACUACUGGAAACGGUAGCUAAUACCGCAUACCAUCGGAUGUGCCCAGAGGGGAUUAGCUAGUAGGUGGGGUAAAGGCUCACCUAGGCGACGAUCCCUAGCUGGUCUGAGCGGAUGACGUGCCACACUGGAACUGAGACAGGGUCCAGCCCCCAACGGUAGGCAGCAGUGGGGAAUAUUGCACAAGGUGCGCAAGCUUGAUGCAGCCAUGCCGCGUGUAUGAAGAAGUCCUUCGGGUUGUAAAGUACUUGCAGCGGGGAGGCGUUACCCGCAGAAGAAGCACCGGCUAACUACGUGCCAGCAGCCGCGGUAAUUC